Molecule: ribosomal RNA, 506 nt
Filed under: uncultured bacterium
Lineage: Bacteria
Description: partial 16S ribosomal RNA
Rfam family: Bacterial small subunit ribosomal RNA
Source: RNAcentral
AUUGAACGCUGGCGGCAUGCCUAACACAUGCAAGUCGAACGGCAGCACGGUCUAGCUUGCUAGAUGGGUGGCGAGUGGCGCACGGGUGAGUAACGCGUAGGAAUAUGCCUUGAAGUGGGGGAUAACUUGGGGAAACUCAAGCUAAUACCGCAUAAGCUCUUAGGAGGAAAGCUGGGGACCGUAAGGCCUGGCGCUUCAAGAUUAGCCUGCGUCCGAUUAGCCAGUUGGUGGGGUAAGGGCCUACCAAGGCGACGAUCGGUAGCUGGUCUGGGAGGAUUGCCAGCCACACUGGGACUGAGACACGGCCCAGACUCCUACGGGAGGCAGCAGUGGGGAAUAUUGGACAAUGGGGGCAACCCUGAUCCAGCAAUGCCGCGUGUGUGAAGAAGGCCUGAGGGUUGUAAAGCACUUUCAGUGGGGAGGAGGAUUGACAGGUUAAGAGCUAGUUAAUUGGACGUUACCCACAGAAGAAGCACCGGCUAACUCCGUGCCAGCCGCCGCGGUAA